RNAcentral lists this long non-coding RNA (1152 nucleotides) under Olea europaea subsp. europaea. Lineage: Eukaryota; Viridiplantae; Streptophyta; Magnoliopsida; Lamiales; Oleaceae. The record is from RNAcentral.
UAGUAGACUUUUUUUAAACUUUUUAUUUGUUGUAAUCGUUACUCCUAACAUUUUCAAACGAUACAUGUCAUCCAAAAUUUCAUCAAUUGAUCAGAAAUUUAAUUUUGACCAUAGUUUUAGUAUUUUAAUAGGGGGUAAAAGAGUAAAUUUCUAUUUAACAUAUUAAAUGAUUAUAUUCAUUAAAUUAAAAAAUAAGAAAAAACAAAAGAAUCAUUUUCUUCCUCUCACCCCAUCCCCACCUCAAACCCACAGCCACCCAACCUCCAUCGCCACCACAUCCACCCUUCACCACCAUCCAUCCCAUCACAAUUGCCACCAGGCAACCUCCACCGCAUUCUACCAUGAGAAGAUCCAAACUCUAGGCAAACCGAAGCCGUUCUCAAAGAAGCAUCCAUUGGGUCUCAAAGAACAGAUAAAUCCUGUUGACCAAAGCGAGUCACAGAUUGAGUUGACUGGUGAGAAUUGCCCUGCUCCACCAAGUUCGGCCUUCAGUAGAGUUACCCGAAUGCUGUGUGGAAAAAAAGGCGCGCGAAGGUUGUAGAUGGCAUUUACAAGCUUCGAUAAGUAGAUCUGUUGCUCCGCCUCCUCUUUCAUCUCAUCUCCUUAGAAUGAAUUUGAGUCUGAGUUUCUACCUCGAGUUUUCUUCUCUUUUUUGGCGAUAGAUUUGAGUUUGCUUCAAGAUUCGCAAUUGAUGAUUAUGCCAUUAUCAAUCAGAACGAAAGAAUUCCGCUCUUUUGGGUUCGAAAUCCACCCAUUAGGUCUCAAAGAACAGAUAAUUGAACCCGCUUUAGGACUCAAAGAAGUAUGAGCCAAAUUGAGCCCGACCCGACCAUUCUUGAAACAGCACUAUUUCGACGGGCUGCGAGAAAUGGGAUUGAAUCUGUACAGAGGUGGCCUUUUGAGAUUUGGUAGAGAGAGAAAUUUAGAAGGGGGGAAUGCAAUUAUUGUGCUCUGCAUUUUCGCGUGGCUGAGGAUUUGAGGUGGGCGUAGGGAGUGAGAGAAUGAAGAGGAUUGUUUUGUUUUUUCUUAUUUUUAAUUUUUUAAAUUAAUAAAUAUAAUUAUUUAAUGUGAUAAAUAGGAAGUUACUUUUUUGCCACUUCUUAAAAUAUUAAAAAUGUGAUCAAAGUUAAAUUUCUGAUCAACUGAUGGAAU